Molecule: ribosomal RNA, 459 nt
Filed under: uncultured bacterium
Lineage: Bacteria
Description: partial 16S ribosomal RNA
Rfam family: Bacterial small subunit ribosomal RNA
Source: RNAcentral
CCUACGGGAGGCAGCAGUGAGGAAUAUUGGUCAAUGGACGCAAGUCUGAACCAGCCAUGCCGCGUGCAGGAAGACGGCUCUAUGAGUUGUAAAUGCUUUUGUACGAGGGUAAACGCAGAUACGCGUAUCUGUCUUAAAGUAUCGUACGGAUAAGGAUCGGCUAACUCCGUGCCAGUAGCCGCGGUAAUACGGAGGAUUCAAGCGUUAUCCGGAUUUAUUGGGUUUAAAGGGGGCGUAGGCGGGCGGAUAAGUUAGAGGUGAAAUCCCGAGGCUCAACUUCGGAAUUUCCUCUGAUACUGUUCGGCUAGAGAGUAGUUGCGGUAGGCGGAAUGUAUGGUGUAGCGGUGAAAUGCUUAGAGAUCAUACAGAACACCGAUUGCGAAGGCAGCUUACCAAGCUACUUCUGACGUUGAGGCACGAAAGCGUGGGGAGCAAACAGGAUUAGAUACCCGGGUAGUC